This 463-nucleotide ribosomal RNA is filed under the name uncultured bacterium. Its description in RNAcentral is "partial 16S ribosomal RNA". It matches the Rfam family "Bacterial small subunit ribosomal RNA", at positions 28 to 507 of the family's 1533-position model. The record is from RNAcentral.
GAUGAACGCUGACAGAAUGCUUAACACAUGCAAGUCUUUGGCGAAUCUGUGCUUGCACAGGCUAGUCAAGGCGGACGGGUGAGUAACGCGUAAAGAACUUGCCCUGCAGACAGGGAUAACAGACGGAAACGACUGAUAACACCUGAUACAGUUGCCGGCACGCAUGUGCCUGGCAAUGAAAAGAGAUGCUGCAGGAGAGCUUUGCGUCCUAUUAGCUUGUUGGUGAGGUGACGGCUCACCAAGGCGAUGAUAGGUAGCCGGCCUGAGAGGAUGAACGGCCACAAGGAGACUGAGAUACGGCCCUUACUCCUACGGGAGGCAGCAGUGGGGAAUAUUGGACAAUGGGGGCAACCCUGAUCCAGCAAUUCUGUGUGCACGAAGAAGGUUUUCGGAUUGUAAAGUGCUUUCAGCAGGGAAGAAGAAAGUGACGGUACCUGCAGAAGAAGCGACGGCUAAAUACGUG